Molecule: ribosomal RNA, 372 nt
Filed under: uncultured organism
Description: bacterial SSU rRNA
Rfam family: Bacterial small subunit ribosomal RNA
Source: RNAcentral
CAGAGGGUGCAAGCGUUGUUCGGAAUUACUGGGCGUAAAGGGCGCGUAGGCGGUUUGGUAAGUCAGAUGUGAAAGCCCGGGGCUCAACCCCGGAAGUGCAUUUGAAACUACCAGACUAGAGUGCAGUAGAGAAUGGCGGAAUUCCCAGUGGAGAGGUGAAAUUCGUAGAUAUUGGGAGGAACACCGGUGGCGAAGGCGGCCAUUUGGGCUGUAACUGACGCUGAGGCGCGAAAGCGUGGGUAGCAAACAGGAUUAGAUACCCUGGUAGUCCACGCUGUAAACUAUGGAUACUCGCUGUGGCUGGUAUUGACCCCGGCCGUAGCCAAGUUAACACGUUAAGUAUCCCGCCUGGGGAGUACGGUCGCAAGAUUA